CCCCUGGGCACUCGCUCACAGAAUGCCACAGCUUAAAGUCAUUAUAAAGAUAGCAUUAAGACAAUUAAACAAAUUACUUGGAAUCAAGAGUACUUAAAAUCUAUCCCUAACCUGAAUAAAAGGUACCAGAGGACAACCCCCAAAAUUGAGGGAAAUUACAGAAAAAUGUUACAACAUGAUUUUAGAGAAAAACCUCCCAGAGUAAAGUCAGAAUCCAAAGCAAGACUUUCAGUUAUGUUCGAGCAAUUAACCAACUGUGUGGAUAAUUUUUGCCGGAAGAAUAUCAAAUGCAAAGAUAAUGCAGAAGUCUCAUUGCAACAAAAAGUUAAAUUUACUCUCACAUACUCCAGAAAGUUUAAUUAAAUGAUGAAACAUUACAUCAUUUCUUUUUCUUCCCAAUUCUCCAUUCUCUAAGGUAUAACAAAACAAACCAGAGGACUAGAUGAGAAGAAAAAAAAAAAAAAACAAACCUAAGGAUGCUAUUAAUCCAAAACAUGCGCAGAACUUAAAGCUGACAGUUUCUAUUAUAACAGUAAUUCUAUAAUCAUCACACAGCAAAUAGCAUAACCAAGUAAAGAUGUUCUCUAUCACAAGUGGUAAAAUUGUAGUUUUUUUGUUUGGUUGAAACAUUUCAAAAAUCUUGGCUGGAAACAGAAAAGGAAGUCAAUACACUGAGAGCUACAUCAACAAGACACUACACAGACACAGUGAUUAAGAACUAGUGUGUGACUAUGAUGGCCCUUGAGAGCCAAAAACCUAUUCUUCAAGACUGCGUUCCAAGUUUAGUAGAAGAAAAUCACAAAAACAAGCCCAAAUACGGCACUAAGUUCACAAAGGAACCCACAUAACAUGAAUUUUUAUCCAAAGGUUUAAAAGAAAAACUUAGUUAAGACUGGUCAUAGUUUAUAAAAAUAGAAUUUUAAAAGGCUGUGAAGGACAAGAAGAUAAAUUUCCUUUCCUUAAAAUCUAAAUUUCUCUGCAGCUUCUAUAAGUAAGGUAACUCUUUUAACACACAAUGCAUAUUGUCAGCUCUAUCAUCCAUAAGGCUUGCUGAAUAUCACUUAAGGCUUGCUGAGUAUCACUUGAAAGUGCUACUGAUAAUUUGUUCAAUCUCAAACAUAUGAGUUAUGCAUUACACAAAUAUUGACCAGAACUCAAAGAGGAAUGAGGUGCCACUGUUCUUUACAACCAUUCAUUCAGCUUUGAAUCUUUAGAAAAAAUAAAGGCCAAGCAUAUAUAAAACAUUUACCAUUUUAUAAAAACUUAACUUUUAAAAGAAGUGCUUAUAUGAUGUCAAGGAAAAUAACAAGUUAAAGUGUCACCAGUUAGAAAAAGUUUUUGUACUUAGGAAUGCAGUCACAUUUUAUUUUAUAAUGAGUAAAAGUGAGUAUUUUGAAAUCAAACAGGUCUUUUGAACCCACACAAUACAGAUGGAACACACCUCUAAUUUCAGUCAAAACUAAAAAAAGAAGAAAAAUAGAUACUACCUGGUUAAAGCAUAGCCCAGAUGCAAAGCUGAACACUGAAGAUACAUGCUAUCUGAAUAGCAUAAAUUUAGACAAAGUAGUUCAGAUUAAAGAGCUGGCCAUAUAUACUUAAAAGUCUACAUUUGAUCAUUUAAGAAAGGCCUCAAAGAAAAAAGGAAAGGGUACUUCAACAUGUGAUCUGGAAGAAAUUUUAGCAUCACAGGAAAAGUUUGACUUUCUUCUGGUGCUUGGUUAUAUAAAGGAGAAAGAUUUGAAGAAAAAAAGUGUAAAAUUGUUUUCAUACAAUAUAUGAAUAAUGAAUCUAGACUUUAAAAGAAAAGCCAUAUAGGUUUUAUCUUUUACAUUACAGGAAAAAAAUGAAAUUCACAAAUUAUCAUCGCAACUUUGUGUAUGUGUGUUAAGAUGGUAAGAAAUUAACUUAGACAAAUCACAGCUUUUUAAAUUUAAUUUAAAGGGGGUUUUAAGGAAAUUAAGAUAUAGUCUUUGCAUCUGUUCUCAAAGUGCCCUAACAUUUAACUUUCAAAUAAUUACUCCGUGGAAACUCCUACUAUUACGUAAAUAAGCAGUGCUAACAAGAAAUUAGAAAUUAUAGAAGAAACUAAAGUGCAGCGUUCAAUCCAUCAUGUCCAGUCUACCAAAUUGGGAAUCCCUAAGAUGAAAUAUUUGCCUAAAUAAAUUAUAAAGUCACUAGUUGAACAUAAAUACCCAUCUUCUGAUCCAAUACUUCUGAUUAAAAAUAAGUCAGGUGCAUUCCCAUAAAUUCAAACACUAUUCUCAUGUUCCAAGAAUAUUUUUACCCUGCUUCUUUUCAUGGCAUUAAGCACUGGGGGUUUUUUGUCUUCCUUCUGCCUAGAAUGGCUUUUCUCUCUGAUACGACUGUUAAAGUCAUGCUUAUCCUUCAACACUGAAAACAAAGGAUUCUUGGUUCCUUCAAAGGAAAUAUGAUCCUGUUAGAUCA
Molecule: long non-coding RNA, 2445 nt
Filed under: Canis lupus familiaris (dog)
Lineage: Eukaryota; Metazoa; Chordata; Mammalia; Carnivora; Canidae
Description: lncRNA (ENSCAFG00000054958.1)
Source: RNAcentral